AGCGUCGCUCCCGCACAGAUGGGCCAAGCCCAACAAAUCCGUUUCGCACCAAUACCUCGCCUCCUUUGAUCUCCCAGGAACCCCACGCGCUAGGGUUUGGCCCCGCUGCCGCUCGACCAUGUCGAGCACCACCUGUCCACCGCAGCUCGCCAGGGCGUCGCCCGCCGCCCCUCUACCUGGCCCGGCUCUGCUCGAGCUCGGCCAGGACAGGAGAUCGCCCCGAUCGACCACAGUUUGGCGAAGCCAGCGGGCCCUGGGCAGGUACAUGCGGCGCGGCCGCACAUCCCCCCCCCCCCCACGUCGGCAGGGCCCCCCACCAAGACUCCUCGCUCAAUCACGCCGACUAUGGAACGCCUCGCGAUUUCUGGCCAUUUAGAUGGAAAUAAUGGCGGAGGAGAUGGAGAUCUCGAUUUGCUGCUUUCCAUCAAUUCCCUCGUCAAUCUCCAACGAUCGAGAUUGGGCCGGUGGUUGCAGCUUCCUUUCUUUUGGUGGCAUCUGGUAUUCUGUUUUCGUUGGGGUGUGCCCUUCUGAUGUUUGGUGAAAGGUUCAACCAUGAUCCUUGGUGGGGUUCUAAAAUUUAGGGGCUGCAGCUGGUAUGUUUGGUUCUGCAUUGGUCCUUUUGAUACUCUCCUUUUAAUUCUUUUUAUCAUUUGGUGUAUGAUUGAUGGAUUCUUUUUGUUUAUUUUGCCAUUGUUGCGUUGGGUUUGAACGGGGUGUGCUCCGCCCAUCGAUGAGUACCGGUUGCCAUGAACUGGUCAGAGUGGCGGCACAAGGGUUUCGAUUGGGAGGCGCCUGCUGUGUGCUGGUGCUGCGGUCGUCUUCAGGCGACCACGUCCAUGAGCUGCUGCCGCCGGCGACGUUCCUAAUCAGCUGCUGGCCACCGCCACAACCUUCUGCUCCCCGGUGACGUCCCUCUCAUUCUCCAUGUAUUUUUUUCCUAAAAAUUGUUUCCUUGUUCCUGUCAAUGCAUGCAUGCAAAUUUGUUUCAUUAGAUAAACAAUUUCCUACAUGUACAAUAUGAUCCAUAUGUACAACAUCUCCAAUCCAAUUACCUGCUUCUGUCACUACAAGAAUUAUUUUGCUUCAACAUUUGUAAAGUAUAUUUUGGUGGCUUUCAUAAUCAGGUACGUGUAUUGCCUCUAAGAAUCCCAUUUUCUAUGAAGUCGUUGCCAAAGUAGUCUAGAUUUGUUUACAAUAAUACUUCCAUUGUAUGAGGCUACAUGUAAUCCUGCACUGUAGGUCACUUUCCUAAAUGUACCAAGAAACUCUUCACCUGUUAGCAAUUUUUUCUUAUUACCCAAAAUAUUUAUUUUUUCUAAUCUCCACCUGUUAGUGUAAUUUUGGGUUAAGGGUUAAUUGAACUCUUAUAUAGACGUUUUGGAGGCUAUUUGUCUUGCCCAUCCUCACUGCUCGUUUAUGUUGGAUGCAAAUGAAUGCUCCAUACAAAAUCAAGCAAUCAAGGUUCUUGACUAACUAAAUGGCUUGUACAUCUGCAAAUUUGAUACUACGAUAAAAACUCCAUAGUUUUAAUCUUUUCCCAGUAUGUUCAUUUUUUUCAUUAAUAUAUCUCAGUCAUUGGGAGGUUAUUUGAUUCUUCUAAUAAUUUUGCCAUUCGUUUAAGAAAUGGAGUGACUCAUGUACUCUUUGAGCGACCAGUUCAUAGAGAUGAUUGAGGACAUCUCCAUGAUGUUACAUUGCUGCUAUGGACAAAUACAGAAUUGUUGCUGAUGAAAGCUGCCAGAGUUCACUUGAUGCUCAGAAAAUAAUACAUGGAAAUCUUGCUUGUUACAUUGCUGCUAUGGACAAAUACAGAAUUGUUGCUGAUGAAAGCUGUCAGAGUUUGCUUGAUGCUCAGAAAAUAAUACAUGGAAAUCUUGUUCAUGUUAUUAACAUUAAACAUGAGAAGUUAGGGUUCUUAGAGUAAUUAUUGCUGCAAGAAUAGCCGGUAUUGCACUUAUGACUAGGACUUCCAUGGACUGGGCUGAUCAUCUAGCUGUUGGGAUUUGUUUUUUAAGAUUGAUUAAGUGUGAAGAUUUCUCUGCAAAAAGAAGUUACAUGUUAAAAUUAUGAAGUAACAUGUUUUUUUUUGCAACUAGAGGCAAUGCCACUAGGAAGUUCAAACUGGAAAUGAUGGUACAAUGUUUUAGGCCUGGUAUGAUAAUAAGGUGCUAAAAUGAAUCAUCCACUGUUGCCGUAGCAAUUUUAUUGACCUGGACACACCUCUUGUAUUCUCUAAAGAUCUAGCUUCCAGUGACUAUGUAGGUAUUCUUCAACAAAAUCCUGUAAAGCUGCAAUUUCCUCUAGAGAUACAGUUCUGUUUCCGGUGUUAUUCUUAUUAGACAUGACACAUGUUUGUGUCCCAAGAUUUCAUUUAGAAGACCUCCAUGUUGUGAAAAUUAUGUUGUUAUUCUUUGAUAUUAAGAAUUAUACCGCUGCCAUUCUGA
Long non-coding RNA from Lolium perenne, 2444 nucleotides. RefSeq lists it as uncharacterized. The record is from RefSeq and is a predicted model, not a curated record. Lineage: Eukaryota; Viridiplantae; Streptophyta; Magnoliopsida; Poales; Poaceae.